AUUGAACGCUGGCGGCAGGCCUAACACAUGCCAGUCGAGCGGAUGAAGGGAGCUGGCUCCUGGAUUCAGCGGAGGACGGGUGAGUAAUGCCUAGGAAUCUGCCUGGUAGUGGGGGAUAACGUCCGGAAACGGGCGCUAAUACCGCAUACGUCCUGAGGGAGAAAGUGGGGGAUCUUCGGACCUCACGCUAUCAGAUGAGCCUAGGUCGGAUUAGCUAGUUGGUGGGGUAAAGGCCUACCAAGGCGACGAUCCGUAACUGGUCUGAGAGGAUGAUCAGUCACACUGGAACUGAGACACGGGCCAGAACCCUACGGGAGGCAGCAGUGGGGAAUAUUGGACAAGGGGCGAAAGCCUGAUCCAGCCAUGCCGCGUGUGUGAAGAAGGUCUUCGGAUUGUAAAGCACUUUAAGUUGGGAGGAAGGGCAGUAAGUUAAUACCUUGCUGUUUUGACGUUCCCAACAGAAUAAGCACCGGCGAACUUCGU
Molecule: ribosomal RNA, 483 nt
Filed under: uncultured bacterium
Lineage: Bacteria
Description: partial 16S ribosomal RNA
Rfam family: Bacterial small subunit ribosomal RNA
Source: RNAcentral